This 447-nucleotide RNase P RNA is filed under the name Singulisphaera sp. GP187. RNAcentral's name for it is "Bacterial RNase P class A". It matches the Rfam family "Bacterial RNase P class A". Rfam says of the family: Ribonuclease P (RNase P) is a ubiquitous endoribonuclease, found in archaea, bacteria and eukarya as well as chloroplasts and mitochondria. The record is from RNAcentral. Lineage: Bacteria; Pseudomonadati; Planctomycetota; Planctomycetia; Isosphaerales; Isosphaeraceae.
GUGACGGACUGGAUGAUCGCCACGGCGCUUGGUUUGAUGGAAACAUCAAAUCGAGGGCAUGCCGUAGAGGAAAGUCCGGACUCCGUAGGGCGCGGUGGUGGGUAACGCCCACCGCCCGAUUGAUCUCGGGAAGGGAAAGUGCCACAGAAAACAGACCGCCACGGCGAACUUCGGUUCGCUGGGGUAAGGGUGAAACGGUGAGGUAAGAGCUCACCAGCAGGUCGGGUGACCGGCUUGGCUUGGCAAACCCCACUGGGAGCAAGACCAAAUAAGGGAGCAACGUUGCCGGACUGACCGCAAGGGAGGGCCGGCGGCGGCGGAUUUGCCCGAUCCGGAUGACUUCCGGGUAGGUCGCUAGAGGCGCCGGGCAACCGGCGUCCCAGAGAAAUGAUCAUCCGGGGACGUUCGCGUCCCCGACAGAAUCCGGCUUACAGGUUCGUCACGAUC